CCUACGGGAGGCAGCAGUGGGGAAUAUUGCACAAUGGGGGAAACCCUGAUGCAGCGACGCCGCGUGGGCGAUGAAGUUUUUCGGAAUGUAAAGCUCUAUCAGCAGAGAAGAUAAUGACGGUAUCUAACUAAGAAGCACCGGCUAACUACGUGCCAGCAGCCGCGGUAAUACGUAGGGGGCAAGCGUUACCCGGAAUUACUGGGCGGAAAGGGAGCGUAGGCGGGGGUGCAAGUCAGAUGUGAAAUCCCAUGGCUCAACCCCGGGACUGCAUUUGAAACUGUGCUGCUAGAGUAUAGGAGAGGCAGGUGGAAUUCAUGGUGUAGCGGUGAAAUACGUAGAGAUUAGGAGGAACACCAGUGGCGAAGGCGACCUGCUGGAAGAUGACUGACGUUGAGGCGCGAAAGCGUGGGGAGCAAACAGGAUUAGAUACCCCUGUAGUC
RNAcentral lists this ribosomal RNA (440 nucleotides) under uncultured bacterium. RNAcentral's name for it is "partial 16S ribosomal RNA". It matches the Rfam family "Bacterial small subunit ribosomal RNA", at positions 338 to 795 of the family's 1533-position model. The record is from RNAcentral.